Molecule: non-coding RNA, 79 nt
Organism: Cordylochernes scorpioides
Lineage: Eukaryota; Metazoa; Arthropoda; Arachnida; Pseudoscorpiones; Chernetidae
Source: the annotation of a GenBank genome assembly
UGUCAAGGGAUGGGAAUCGAACCCACGACCUUCCGCUUACCGGGCAGAUGCCAUGACCACAAUAAAAUGACCACAUUUC